This is a non-coding RNA of Triticum aestivum (bread wheat), 105 nucleotides long. The record is from Rfam. Lineage: Eukaryota; Viridiplantae; Streptophyta; Magnoliopsida; Poales; Poaceae.
AUUAUACUCCCUCCGUCCCAAAAUAAGUGACUCAACUUUGUACUAACUUUGUACUAAAGCUAGUACAAAGUUGAGUCACUUAUUUUGGGACGGAGGGAGUACUUG